AACGAACGCUGGCGGCAUGCCUAACACAUGCAAGUCGAACGAGAUCCUUCGGGGUCUAGUGGCGCACGGGUGCGUAACGCGUGGGAAUCUGCCCUUAGGUUCGGAAUAACAGUUAGAAAUGACUGCUAAUACCGGAUGAUGACGUUAAGUCCAAAGAUUUAUCGCCUGAGGAUGAGCCCGCGUGGGAUUAGCUAGUUGGUGUGGUAAAGGCGCACCAAGGCGACGGUACUUAGCUGGUCUGAGAGGAUGGUCAGAGACACUGAGAGGGAGAAACGGUGCAGAAUACUACAGGAGGCGGGAGAGGGUAAUAUAGGAAAAUGGGGUGAGGGCAGAACCAGUAAUGACGCGAGAGUGAUGUAGGCCUGGGGGUAGGAAAGCUCGUUUAUCCGAUAUUAUAAUGACGGUAUCGAGAGAAUAAGCCCCGGCUAACUCCGUG
This 436-nucleotide ribosomal RNA is filed under the name uncultured bacterium. Its description in RNAcentral is "partial 16S ribosomal RNA". It matches the Rfam family "Bacterial small subunit ribosomal RNA", at positions 29 to 507 of the family's 1533-position model. The record is from RNAcentral.